This 232-nucleotide small RNA is filed under the name Rickettsia prowazekii. RNAcentral describes it as "partial sR3 non-coding RNA". The record is from RNAcentral. Lineage: Bacteria; Pseudomonadati; Pseudomonadota; Alphaproteobacteria; Rickettsiales; Rickettsiaceae.
AAGUAAUUCUGUUAUUGCGGAAGCGGUGAAAUAUAAGCUAGUUGGGGAAAGUGUGGGAUAGAAAUUAUUAACUUUAAGUUUAUUAGCCUUUGACCUUGCUAAAUAAAAAUCAUUAUAACUAUUUUCAAACUCUAAAAUUGCUUGUUUUGAUAGAUUAUCGAAUAUGCAAAUAGGAUUAUUGAGAUAAUCUACUAAACUAGAGCAAGAAUAAUAAAAUAAUGGGAGUAAUUGU